RNAcentral lists this ribosomal RNA (1031 nucleotides) under Enterococcus casseliflavus. RNAcentral describes it as "bacterial SSU rRNA". It matches the Rfam family "Bacterial small subunit ribosomal RNA", at positions 59 to 1061 of the family's 1533-position model. Lineage: Bacteria; Bacillati; Bacillota; Bacilli; Lactobacillales; Enterococcaceae. The record is from RNAcentral.
CAGUCGACGCUUUUUCUUUCACCGGAGCUUGCUCCACCGAAAGAAAAAGAGUGGCGAACGGGUGAGUAACACGUGGGUAACCUGCCCAUCAGAAGGGGAUAACACUUGGAAACAGGUGCUAAUACCGUAUAACACUAUUUUCCGCAUGGAAGAAAGUUGAAAGGCGCUUUUGCGUCACUGAUGGAUGGACCCGCGGUGCAUUAGCUAGUUGGUGAGGUAACGGCUCACCAAGGCAACGAUGCAUAGCCGACCUGAGAGGGUGAUCGGCCACACUGGGACUGAGACACGGCCCAGACUCCUACGGGAGGCAGCAGUAGGGAAUCUUCGGCAAUGGACGAAAGUCUGACCGAGCAACGCCGCGUGAGUGAAGAAGGUUUUCGGAUCGUAAAACUCUGUUGUUAGAGAAGAACAAGGAUGAGAGUAAAAUGUUCAUCCCUUGACGGUAUCUAACCAGAAAGCCACGGCUAACUACGUGCCAGCAGCCGCGGUAAUACGUAGGUGGCAAGCGUUGUCCGGAUUUAUUGGGCGUAAAGCGAGCGCAGGCGGUUUCUUAAGUCUGAUGUGAAAGCCCCCGGCUCAACCGGGGAGGGUCAUUGGAAACUGGGAGACUUGAGUGCAGAAGAGGAGAGUGGAAUUCCAUGUGUAGCGGUGAAAUGCGUAGAUAUAUGGAGGAACACCAGUGGCGAAGGCGGCUCUCUGGUCUGUAACUGACGCUGAGGCUCGAAAGCGUGGGGAGCGAACAGGAUUAGAUACCCUGGUAGUCCACGCCGUAAACGAUGAGUGCUAAGUGUUGGAAGGGUUUCCGCCCUUCAGUGCUGCAGCAAACGCAUUAAGCACUCCGCCUGGGGAGUACGACCGCAAGGUUGAAACUCAAAGGAAUUGACGGGGGCCCGCACAAGCGGUGGAGCAUGUGGUUUAAUUCGAAGCAACGCGAAGAACCUUACCAGGUCUUGACAUCCUUUGACCACUCUAGAGAUAGAGCUUCCCCUUCGGGGGCAAAGUGACAAGUGGUGCAUGGUUGUCGUCAGCUC